AUCAACAUCUAUAUUCUUAUACUAGUAUUGUAGAUAUUGAUUACUCUUACUUUGUAGUGAGUUUUGAAGUCAGGAAGUAUGUAUCUCCCAUGCCAACCUUUUUUCUUCUUUCUCAAAGUUAUUUAGGCUGCUAUGGGUCUAUUUCAUUAUAUAUGAAUUUUAGAUAAACUUUGUGAAUUUAGAGAAUGGAUGUGUCACCUGGGAUUUUGAUAGAGGUUGCGUUAAAUCUAUAGAUCCAUUUGGAAAACAUUACCAGCCUAACAACAUUAAUGUUUAUAAGCAAUGAAUAGUCAAAGGUUUUUUUCCAUUUAUUUCUAUCAAAAUGUUUUCUGUAGUUUUUGGGUAUAUAUCUUAUACUUAAUUUGAUAAACUUAUUUUUGAUGUCAUCUCAAAUGGAACAUUCUGAGUUUUUUGUUUUAGAUUGUUAAUUGCUAGCAUAUAGAAAUUCAGAGGAUUUUAUAUAGUGACCUUAUAUACUGCAAAUUUGUUGAACUCAAUUAUAAAUUCUAAACAUAUUUGAUUAGAGUCCUUUGGAAAUUUUAUACAUAAGAUCAUGUCAUAUGCCAACAGACAGAGUUUGACUUUUUUUCCAUACUGGAAGCCUUAUAUUUAUUUUUCUAGACUAAUUGCCAUGUCUAUAUCCUCCAGUACAAUGUUGAAAACAAGUGUCCAGAGUGGAAAUCUUUGUCUUGUUUCUAAUCUUGGAGAAAUUAGUGAACCUUUCAGAUAAGCUAUAAUGACAUAUUGGUUUUUCAUGGAUCCUCUUUAAAAGGAAGACAGUUCCCUUAUCUGCCUCAUUUGCUGCAUAUUUUUCUCAUAGGGAGUUUGAGAAUUCUCAAGUGCCUAUGCAUCUUCUGAGAUGAUUAUGUGGUUUUUUUCUUUAUUAUAUGAAUAUAGUGCAUAGCACUAGUUGUAUUGUAUGUUGAACCAAAUUUUGCUUUUCUGAGGUAAAUACCCUUGACAUAGUGUAUAAUAAUUUUUACAUGUUUCUGGUUUGUUUUACUAAUAUUUCCUUGAUGAUUUUUGCCCCUGUAUUCAGAAGGUGUAUUGUUCUUCAUUUUCCAUAUUUGAAAUGUCUUUGUCUAAUUGUGGUAUCAGGGUAAACUAACUCAGUGUACAAUGGGAAAUCACGCCUUCUCCACUUUUUGGGAGUAAUUUGUAAUACAUUAGUAUUAAUUGUUUAAAUGAUUCCAAUAAUUCACUAAUGAAUUCUUCUUGAUGAGGUCAGAGUGGUUAAUCCUAAGAACAGUUACAUGAGCUUGGAAGGAGACCUUUCCCCAGCUGAGCCUUAGCCUGGGCCAUCACCUACAUCUGGACUGAAGAACCAGAGAAACUACUCCAUCAGGAAUUGUUUGGGACCGUGCAUUCUGUUGACACUCACAUUGUGGAAUUAUGUUGCCCACUGCCAACCCUAAAGCCACCAAGGUAGCAGGUUUGGAAUAAUUCAUCCGUAAAGUCUUCUUAACCUGUUCAAUCACGAGAACUUAGAAGAUGAUUCCUCCCCAGCUGAUCCUUCACGUGAGACCUCAGCCUUGACCAUCAUCUACAGCUGGAUUCCUGACCCAGAGAAACUGUGAGUAAUUUGUGUGUGCUUUUGAGCCAGUAAGCUACGUGGUAAUUGGCUAUGCUGCAAUAAACAAUAAUACACUUGACAGUAAACAUAAUAUGUUAUCCUUGAUUAGAUCC
Long non-coding RNA from Pongo pygmaeus (Bornean orangutan), 1686 nucleotides. RefSeq lists it as uncharacterized. NCBI's taxonomy places the organism in Eukaryota, Metazoa, Chordata, Mammalia, Primates, Hominidae. The record is from RefSeq and is a predicted model, not a curated record. The transcript is spliced from 3 exons.